Molecule: ribosomal RNA, 490 nt
Filed under: uncultured bacterium
Lineage: Bacteria
Description: partial 16S ribosomal RNA
Rfam family: Bacterial small subunit ribosomal RNA
Source: RNAcentral
GAUGAACGCUAGCGAUAGGCUUAACACAUGCAAGUCGAGGGGCAGCAUGGUCUUAGCUUGCUAAGACUGAUGGCGACCGGCGCACGGGUGCGUAACGCGUAUGCAACUUGCCUCACAGAGGGGGAUAACCCGUCGAAAGACGGACUAAUACCGCGUACACUCUAUUUUGGGCAUCCAAGGUAGAGGAAAUGAAAUUCGCUGUGAGAUAGGCAUGCGUCCCAUUAGCUAGUUGGUGAGGUAACGGCUCACCAAGGCGACGAUGGGUAGGGGAACUGAGAGGUUGAACCCCCACACUGGUACUGAGACACGGACCAGACUCCUACGGGCGGCAGCAGUGAGGAAUAUUGGUCAAUGGGCGAGAGCCUGAACCAGCCAAGUCGCGUGAAGGAUGACUGUCUUAUGGAUUGUAAACUUCUGUUGUAGGGGAAUAAAGAGGGGCACGUGUGCCCCAGUGAAUGUACCCUACGAAUAAGCAUCGGCUAACUCCGUG